This 1972-nucleotide long non-coding RNA is filed under the name Panax ginseng (ginseng). RNAcentral describes it as "long non-coding RNA (PGIN_LNC005347)". The record is from RNAcentral. Lineage: Eukaryota; Viridiplantae; Streptophyta; Magnoliopsida; Apiales; Araliaceae.
AUGAAGUUGGGCUGCAAUUGAUAGGCUACCCACAAUGAAACGGGUUACUCACACUACCAUAAUCAUCUGCAGGAAAUAAGCGAAGAAAGCAAUCAGAGAAGGACGAUAGAUGUUACAAAGCUAACUCCACUUGAAAAGCAUGUCUUCAUUGAUAAGCUCAUAAACAAUGUCCAGGAAGAUAAUGCCCGAUUGUUGCUUAGGAUGAAGCAACGCAUGGACAAGUAAGUUUUUAUUUUCUUCAAAUUUGGAUUAGUUACCAAUGGAUUCAAGAUUCCAUAUGAUAUAUAUACCAAUUACCAUGAGCUGUAAAUCUCAAACCCAAAGCCAAAGGUCAGUGAGAUAUUUCUUAUGAAAGCCAUAAAAUAAAAUAAAUAUAAACAUAUGCUAGUCAGUCAGAUAAUCAACUCAAAUAGAUUUUAUUUAUCAAUGGAACAGAAAUCCUAUAUACUAUAGUAUAUUGACAGUUCCUCUAUUAUAUAUUCAGAUAAUCAACUCAAAUAGAUUCUAUUUAUCAAUGGAACAGAAAUCCUAUAUACUAUAGUAUAUUGGCCAGUUCCUCUAUUAUAUAUUUUCGUUCUUCUGGUUCACAUUCAUUAUUCAAUAAACAUACAUUUUAAAUAUCAUACUCUUGACUUGAAGUCAUUGAAAUUAAAUAUACAGAAAAAGAAACAAAUUUAGGUGUAUUUAGCAUUUUUAGUGUGUAUUAUGUAUGCAAUAUAUAUUCACGGACGACAAUAAAGAAACACAGUAAUUAAUAAUUAAUUAUGUAAUCCUUACCACAUAAGACAAACACGAAUCUGAGUACACCAAUUGUAGGCUAACUAAUUUUUUUCAAUUAAAAAAAAACAUUAAUUAUGUAAUCCUUACCAGAUAAGACAAACACGAAUUUGAGUAUGCCAAUUGCCAACCUCAGGCCGCUCAUAACUUAAAUCCCUAAAUCGUUCACGCCAAUACGAGCUAGUUAUUUCAUGAACUGAUUUGACAAUCUUACGAUGCAUGACUAUCACAAGCAUGAAGGAAUUCAUAACCCUAAGAAUGUAUCCACAUUUUUAAAUCCAGAACUUUUUGGGAGUACCUUCUUUUAUCUGUAGUAGGCUUUAAUAGGAUUCACUUCCUUAGAAUUGAAUGAUGGACCCACUCAAUAAACAGUCAACAAUCUUCCAUCCAAAAUGAGAGUCCUCUUUUAAAACUAGAAAAGUUUUUAAGAAAUUUUUUUAGUUAAAUAAUUAAUGGCCAAGAUAACAACUUGCUUCAAUAUCAUGAGGUUUUGUUUCGUGAUCACAAAACUUAUAAUUGUCUGAUUCAUGAACAAAACAGAACAAAAAAAAACAGAGAGAGAGAGAGAGGAAAGAAACGACAACUAAAAAAAAAAAGUACAAAACACAUAAAAGAUGGUAGAUGGUGAAUCAAUUUUGUUUCCUAUCCAUUUCCAACAACGGAGAAGGGCUUUUGCUGGUGAAUAGAGAUACAAAUGUUAGUAAGUUUUCAGUCUAACCUGUAUACUGUUGUAGGGUUGGUGUGAAAUUGCCUGCAGUGGAGGUAAGAUUCAAGAACUUGAAUGUUGAAGCACAAUGUGAAGUUGUCCAUGGCAAGCCUCUUCCCACAUUAUGGAACACUUUCAAAAGAAUAUUUUCCCUAAGUGGACUACUUAACAAUUAUCAUCAAACAUAUUAAUCCCUAAAUCAUGAACAUUGACUUAGUUUACCUGAACUUCCCUCUGUUGAUGUUCUCACUCCAUAUAUAUUUGUGGACAGAUUGUAAAAAUGCCUUGUUGCAAGUCGCAAGAAGCGACGCUAAGCAUCAUAAAAGGAGUCAGCGGCACCAUCAGACCUUCAAGGUGGGAAAAUGAAUCACAUCUAUAUGUAGUAUUCACAUUUCUAACAAAGAAAAAAACUAGAAGUAGGAACCAACCCUAGAACCAGUGGGCUUGGUCGCUCCAUUUCCAUAAUGUGUUCGGUUCGGAUCUGGUUCC